RNAcentral lists this ribosomal RNA (269 nucleotides) under uncultured prokaryote. Its description in RNAcentral is "partial 16S ribosomal RNA". It matches the Rfam family "Bacterial small subunit ribosomal RNA", at positions 524 to 792 of the family's 1533-position model. The record is from RNAcentral.
UACGUAGGUGGCAAGCGUUGUCCGGAAUUACUGGGUGUAAAGGGCGUGUAGGCGGGAGAGCAAGUCAGAUGUGAAAGCCCAAGGCUCAACUUUGGGACUGCAUCUGAAACUGUUUUUCUUGAGUACUGGAGAGGGAAGCGGAAUUCCUAGUGUAGCGGUGAAAUGCGUAGAUAUUAGGAGGAACACCAGUUGCGAAGGCGGCUCUCUGGACUGUAACUGACACUGAGGCACGAAAGCGUGGGGAGCAAACAGGAUUAGAUACCCUGGUA